Molecule: unclassified non-coding RNA, 1694 nt
Filed under: Hevea brasiliensis (rubber tree)
Lineage: Eukaryota; Viridiplantae; Streptophyta; Magnoliopsida; Malpighiales; Euphorbiaceae
Source: RNAcentral
AAACUACAACACCUGUUAAAAGAUCAGAACGGAAAAGAAAAGAACAAGUGAGAGUCCAGAAAAUCUCUUAGAAAGCUAAAUAUUUCACUAUAUUGCUAUGGACAGGCAACUUCAAUUAACAGGUCUACUGUUAGAUCACUAGCUGUCUAACAAGAACAUUAAGAACUGCACCUUUGCAGAAAAAAUGGCAGUUCGCAAGGAGUGAUCAAAGUAUAAUUCACAUGAGAUAUGAACAGGAAACAUCUGCUUUAUCUGUACAAAUCAAAAUAGCAGAUGAUACCAAUGUCUGCAUCUGAAAAAAAAUCUCAGAAAAUGUUGGCACACUAAUGACCUUACGACCAAUUAUCAUUCUGCAUUUCCCUCCACAAUGGGGUUUUGCGGCUGGUUGUCAUCCAGAGUUCUCUCUGAUGCAGGGUUUUGCUGCUGUUUGUCAUCAAGAGUUCUCCCUGAUUCAGGGUUUUGUUGCUGGUUUUCAUCCCCAGUCCUCUCUGAAACAGAGUUUUGCUGCUGGCGGUUGCUUCUGGCACGAGGUUUAGUGAAAUAUUUAUCUAUGAAUUCCUCAGCCAAGUCAGGAUACUUCCCCUUGAUGAAGUUCUCUAGGCAUUUACGGUAGGAAAAAUCCUGUUUGCUACCAUCAGUUGAAACGACAUAGAAGCACCUGCUUUCCUGGAAACUGCUGUGCUUGCUAACUGUGACAUGAUCAAUGCCGGCACCCAUCUUUGCCACUUUAUCUGGAUGAUAGUUGAAGACAUUAUCAAGUACAUAUGACUGGUCAGCAGCAGACAGUGGAUCCCCAUCAUUGUACCCAGAUAGAUGUAUUAUUCUUCUGAUAGACCGCAUUAAUGGCUCAAUUUCAGAGAGAAUAUCCUGCUCUUGAGAAGUAAACACAUCCAACCUCUGUCUGGUUGCUGUAAACAUCCCACUCAUACUAGAAUCAUCAUGGACAUUUCCGGGUGACUUGGCAGGGCGGUUCUUGCCUUUCCAGUCUCCACUUUUUGAACCCCAACCUCUUGAUCCUUCAGCUCUUUUUUUCUUAAAUUCUCCACUUUGUUGUCCCCAUUGCUGUUGCCUAUCACUCCCAUUGCUGGCUUCUGAAUCUGGUAAGCCCCAACCCUGGGAACUUGCUGCUUUUACAGACUCUUUGGCUGAGCCCCAGCCUUGUGAAACUUCUGGGCUGGCUCUGGAAUUUGGCAGGCCCCAACCCUGGGAAUUUGCAGCUUUAUCAGACUCUUUGGGCGAGGCCCAGCCUUGCGAAACUUCAGGGCUAGCUCCUGAAGUUUGCAGUCCCCAUCCCUGGGAACUUGCUGCUUUAAUAGACUCUUUGGACAAGCCCCAGCCGUGAGAAACUUCAGGUGACUUGGCUGAUUCUGAAUCUGGCAGGCCCCAAUCAUGGGAACUUCCAGCUUCAACAGAUUCCUUUGGCGUGCCCCAGCCAUGUGAAACUUCAGGUGACUUGGCUGCUCCUGAAUCUGGCAGGCCCCAACCUUGGGAACUUCUUGCUCUAACAGACUCUUUUGGUGAGUCCCAGCCACGUGAAACUUCAGGUGACUUGGGUUUCCCCCAACUGCUACUGUUGACAUGUGAUUCCAAAUGUUGAACUGCUUGAGUUGGAUGUUUGUCCUUACUCCAGUCUUCAGCAGUUGAAGAAACCCUACCAGAUAUCAACUGAUUCUCAGUUACCUCGUUAUCCCACG